AUUGAACGCUGGCGGCAUGCCUUACACAUGCAAGUCGAACGGCAGCACGGGUGCUUGCACCUGGUGGCGAGUGGCGAACGGGUGAGUAAUACAUCGGAACAUGUCCUGUAGUGGGGGAUAGCCCGGCGAAAGCCGGAUUAAUACCGCAUACGAUCUACGGAUGAAAGCGGGGGACCUUCGGGCCUCGCGCUAUAGGGUUGGCCGAUGGCUGAUUAGCUAGUUGGUGGGGUAAAGGCCUACCAAGGCGACGAUCAGUAGCUGGUCUGAGAGGACGACCAGCCACACUGGGACUGAGACACGGCCCAGACUCCUACGGGAGGCAGCAGUGGGGAAUUUUGGACAAUGGGCGAAAGCCUGAUCCAGCAAUGCCGCGUGUGUGAAGAAGGCCUUCGGGUUGUAAAGCACUUUUGUCCGGAAAGAAAUCCUUGGCUCUAAUACAGUCGGGGGAUGACGGUACCGGAAGAAUAAACACCGGCUAACUACGU
Molecule: ribosomal RNA, 485 nt
Filed under: uncultured bacterium
Lineage: Bacteria
Description: partial 16S ribosomal RNA
Rfam family: Bacterial small subunit ribosomal RNA
Source: RNAcentral